CCGAAUGGGGAAACCCAGUGUGACUCGUCACACUAUCAUUAACUGAAUCCAUAGGUUAAUGAGGCGAACCGGGGGAACUGAAACAUCUAAGUACCCCGAGGAAAAGAAAUCAACCGAGAUUCCCCCAGUAGCGGCGAGCGAACGGGGAGGAGCCCAGAGCCUGAAUCAGCAUGUGUGUUAGUGGAAGCGUCUGGAAAGGCGCGCGAUACAGGGUGACAGCCCCGUACACAAAAGCGCAUGUGCUGUGAGCUCGAUGAGUAGGGCGGGACACGUGGUAUCCUGUCUGAAUAUGGGGGGACCAUCCUCCAAGGCUAAAUACUCCUGACUGACCGAUAGUGAACCAGUACCGUGAGGGAAAGGCGAAAAGAACCCCGGCGAGGGGAGUGAAA
This 389-nucleotide ribosomal RNA is filed under the name Salmonella enterica subsp. enterica serovar Paratyphi B var. L(+) tartrate +. RNAcentral describes it as "Salmonella enterica subsp. enterica serovar Java partial 23S ribosomal RNA". It matches the Rfam family "Bacterial large subunit ribosomal RNA", at positions 114 to 543 of the family's 2925-position model. The record is from RNAcentral. RNAcentral also lists the same sequence under 1 other name. Lineage: Bacteria; Pseudomonadati; Pseudomonadota; Gammaproteobacteria; Enterobacterales; Enterobacteriaceae.